UAGUCCACGCCCUAAACGAUGCUAACUGGUUAUUUGCCUGCAUGGGCAAGUAACUGAGGGAAACCAUUAAGUUAGCCACCUGGGGAGUACGUUCGCAAGAAUGAAACUCAAAGGAAUUGACGGGGGCCCGCACAAGCGGAGGAACAUGUGGUUUAAUUCGAUGAUACGCGAGGAACCUUACCUGGACUUAAAUGUAGAUUGCAUAGCUUAGAGAUAGGCUUUUCUUCGGACUAUUUACAAGGUGCUGCAUGGUUGUCGUCAGCUCGUGCCGUGAGGUGUCGGGUUAAGUCCCGUAACGAGCGCAACCCCUAUCCUUAGUUGCCAGCGGGUCAUGCCGGGGACUCUGAGGAGACUGCCACCGUAAGGUGUGAGGAAGGUGGGGAUGACGUCAAAUCAGCACGGCCCUUAUGUCCAGGGCUACACACGUGUUACAAUGGACGGUACAAAGGGCAGCUACCUGGCGACAGGAUGCUAAUCUCUAAAGCCGUUCUCAGUUCGGAUCGAAGUCUGCAACCCGUA
Molecule: ribosomal RNA, 519 nt
Filed under: uncultured bacterium
Lineage: Bacteria
Description: bacterial SSU rRNA
Rfam family: Bacterial small subunit ribosomal RNA
Source: RNAcentral